RNAcentral lists this long non-coding RNA (7404 nucleotides) under Lynx pardinus (Iberian lynx). Lineage: Eukaryota; Metazoa; Chordata; Mammalia; Carnivora; Felidae. The record is from RNAcentral.
GUUUGAAGCUGUUAGGCAGUAGAGUCCGGGAUGCUCAGAGGUCAUUUGGGAUCAGCAUGAGGGGCAUGAGGGCCUUUCUAAGACAAGACUGUCCUCUCAGGAGGUCAUCCAGUCGUGCCCGCGCCGGGGACACCUGCCCCCGGGGGGGGGAGAGGAGGGGGCUCUGGGUCACGCCCUCCUGGAGAAGAAAGUAAGUGUGGCCCAGUGGCUCGUGUCACUUCUCUAAGUUUUUUUCUUCCUUGUAGAAAAUUUAAGUUGAUAAUAACAAUAUUACAUUGCAAUGUGUUCUAAUAUCAAAGUAAAUUGUUUUCAGGUGAGUAAAAAGAAAAAAGGCACCCGUCCUCCCCACUACCUAGCAGUGACUUCAAUUUGUCAGGUAUUACCUAUCACUGUUUUCUCAGCCCAAAUGUUUUUUACACAGUUGAGUUUAUUUGGGGAAAAUCAUCUUGUACCCUGCUUUUUCAUAAAUAUGCAUAGGAUGUAAUCGUUGUUAAAAUCUUAGCAACAGAGAAGGCUUUUGAAGACCUGAAUGUAAAUCUUGUUUUGUAGUGAAUUGAAGAGACAGAGAUGAAGCGGACGCAGCACGUGAAGACAAUUCUUUCAAGAAGUUUGGCUGCAAAGGAAAAGAUAAAGGUCAGUAGCCAGAGAAGAAUGGCAAGGAAAAGAAAAAAUUUAGGAUUUUUCUUUAAGAAGAGGAGACGUAGUGGUGUUUAUUAGUACAAGAGAAAAAAAAAAAAAAACAACUAGUAGUCAGAGGUUAAAGAUACUGCCAACAAAGAGAAUAACUGAUUGAAUGAUUCUGUAAAGAAAUAGGAGGAGAUAAGAUCCACACAUCAAGUACAUAAAUAGCUUAGGAAAUGGAACCUGGUAGGAAGAUGUCAAAGGGGGUUGUGGAUGUUUAUAAUUUUAAAUCUAUUAUAAGUUGGCAAGAGUAAUGAAGAUAUAUCAAAAUACAUAUAUAUGGCAAAUAAUAUGUAUACUCAGUCACAUUAGUAAUAUUAUAAAUGGAAUAUUAAAUGCUUAUUACAUUGGCAAAGAUUGGGGAGCCUGGGUGGUUCAGUUGCUUGAGCAUCCAACUUUGGCUCAGGUCAUGAUCUCACAGUUGCUGAGUUUGAGCCCACAUCAGGCUCCCAGUCUGCUUCAGAUCCUCUGUCCCCCUCACUCUCUGCCCCUCCCCUGCUCACACUCACUCUCUCCAAAAUGAAUAAACAUUUUUUAAAAAAGAGUAUGCAGAAAAAAAAUUGGCAAAGAUUAAAAAGAAAAUAAUAUAUGUGUUGGGCAAGGGCUCAGUUAAAUAGGCACCCCCCCAGGCAUUUUAGGACUCUGUAUCCUUAAAACGUAUAUAUACUUUGACUAAGGAAGUGUACUUCUAGGAAGUUCUCAAAAGGAAGUAAUCAAAACUGCACACAUACUAAGCUGGAUGGAGUUCAUUUCAGCUUGUCCACCAAUGAAAGAUAGGCGAAAUGCAUUAUACCCAUACUUCUUAGACAUGGAUAACAUGGUUGCAAAUAAGAGAAGUUCACUUAUGUUAGUUUCCUUAAAAGCAUCUUCAGGUUUUAUGGGGCGCCUGGGUGGCUCAGUCAGUUAAUCGUCCAACUUCGGCUCAGGUCAUGAUCUCACAGUUCAUGGGUUUGAGCCCCACAUCUGGCUCUAUGCUGACAGCUCAGAGCCUGGAGCCUGCUUUGAAUCCUGUGUCGCCCUCUCUCUCUGCCCCUCCCCUGCUGGCACUUUCUCUCUCUCUCUCUCUCUCUCUCUCACUCUCUCAAAAAUGAAUAAACAUUGAAAGAAAAAAAGAGCAUCUUCAGGUUUUAUAGGAAGGGAAUGUAGAGUUGCAGUCCGAUUGACUACCCUGAUACAUAAUCAGUGGGAUGCCUUGAACCGUUAAAAAUUAUUUAGAAGACUAUUUAGUGAUAAGAAAAGAUAUGUAAAGUACAUUGUUAAGAGAGAAAAGUGGGUUAUGAAAGCAGCGAUAUGUAGGUUCUUACCACAUGGUGGGUUUUUCUGUUUUUUGCUAUUCUGCUUUCUGCUUAUCUGUAUUCCACAUGACAAAUAUAUAUUUUUCAGGACAUAUAAAAUGUUGCUCUUUUAUUUUUUCUAAUGUUUAUUUUUGAGAGAGAGAGAGACAGAGUGGGAGCUGGGGAAGGGCAGAGAGAGAGGGAGACACAGGAUCCGAAGCAGGCUCCAGGCUCUGAGCUGUCAGCACAGUGCCCAAUGUGGGGGCUCAAACUCAUGAACUGUGAGAUCAUGACCCGAGCUGAAGUCAGAUGCUUUACUGACUGAGACACCCAGGCGCCCCAUAAUGUUGCUCUUUUAAAGGUGUGACUAACUUUGUAAGUGAGGAAGGAAGUUGGGGAAGUGCUCUCCCGAUGACUUUGAAAUAGAUGAUGGCUCUCUGUGAAAUAGAAGAUCAAAAGAAAUUUGAUACUCUAACAACCUGAGAGAACUAUUUUUUAAAUGUAUCUUAUAGAUGCAUAUAAUUUAUCAAUGCCCCCACCAGUCUCAGAAAAGAUUGAGUGUGCUCAGAAAGAGAUAUAUGCUAUAAUAGGAGAAAAAUGAUAGGAAAAGGUAAAAAGUUAUUGGAAAACAAAGAAAAUAAAGGCAAGGGUAUGUUAAUACCCCCAAAAUAAUCAUGCCAAAAGGUCCUAUGUAAUUGGUAGAGGCAUGCUACCACAAAUUAGUCUGAGGUCCCUAGCAACUAAAGCAAAACAUAGUUCUAAGUUUCACAUGGUCUGUAAGAUUUUUUUUUAAGUUGUUUAAGAGAAGUAAGGGCGCCUGGGUGGCUCAGUCGGCUAAGCGUCCGACUUUGGCUCAGGUCAUGAUCUCGCGGUCCGUGAGUUCGAGCCCCACGUCAAGCUCUGUGCUGACAGCUCGGAGCCUGAAGCCUGCUUCGGAUUCUGUGUCUCCCUCUCUCUGACCUUCCCCCAUUCAUGCUGUGUCUCUCUCUGUCUCAAAAAUAAAUAAACGUUAGGGGCGCCUGGGUGGCUCAGUCGGCUAAGCGUCCGACUUCAGCUCAGGUCACGAUCUCACAGUUCGUGGGUUUGAGCCCCGCGUCGGGCUCUGUGCUGACAGCUCAGAGCCUGGAGCCUGUUUCAGAUUCUGUGUCUCCCUCUCUCUCUGACCCACCCCAUUCAUGCCCUAUCUCUCUGUCUCAAAAAUAAAUAAACGUUAAAAAAAAAUUUUUUUUAAAUAAACGUUAAAAAAAUUUUUUUUUAAAAGACAGAAGUAUAGUUUGGUACAGAAACCUGAGAAAAAUUCUUCCCUAGGUCCUGGUAAGGGAAUAAUAUGAGAUUCCUCUAUUACUAUUGUGUUUAUUCUAUUUUUAUAGAAUUUAGCAACAUCUCAGAAAGGUUAUAUUCCUAUUUAUUAACUCAGUAAUUACAAGCUCUUAUUAAGUACAGUGAGAAAUAGAAACACAUGUAAGACAAAGUUUCUGCCCUCAUUUAUUGUGAAAGAAUAACUAUAACAUAAUUGCAUAUUUAUGAUAUUUAAUGAAAAACUAGUAAGAUGAAUAGUAUGAUGAAUACCAGAAUAACUAACAUGAGGAACUAUAAAUCAAGACAAUGUUUGAAGCAAAAAAGUGAGAUGGGAUUCCUGCAAUACACAGAAAGGCUUUCAACCAGUGGGAUCACGUUUAACCUUUUGUAAAAGGGGAUGGUACUCCCCUUUUACAAAAGAGGAAACAGGUUUACAGAGAUCAGAUAAAUUGUCCAGGGUCACAUAGCUGGUAAAGACAAGAGCCAGGAUUUCAAGCCAAUUCUGUCCCUUGAAAACCACCUUAACUACUACACUGUAUGGGAGAGAUAGCAUUCAAAUAGACUUUAAAGGGUAGAAAAGCUAUGUCAGGCAGAGUUUGGGGAAAGAUAAUCUAGGUGAGAGGACAGCACUAAACAAAUCAAAAAGGUUGGAAUGCCUAGGGUAUGUUUUGGAUAACACACAAACACCCCAGGAAAAUGAGAGAUAUAUAGGUAAGCACUAGAAGAAAAAGACUAGGAAGGUUGGGACAGAUAUUUUAAUUUUUGAGAAUUAGUUUACCUGUAGUUUACCUGAUAAAGGACUCAGGCCUCAGGGCCUGAUAAAGCAAGAGUUUUAAGCCCAGAGACCUUGAACCUGAAAAUUCUAUGUGAGGGCUCUGGAUGGGGAAUUCAAGGGACACUAGGUCUAGAUUAGGGACUCACCCCACCCAGGUGAGGAAGGGGUUUAAUGGCAAUAAUAGAAUCCUGUUACACGUUAGCUGUAUAACAUUGGUCAGGUAAUAUAAGAUCUUUGGGCCUCAAUUCUUUAUCUCUUAGAGAGAGGAGGAGGAAGGAGACUGUUAGACAAGAUGAUCUCUUAAAACCUCUUCUAGCACUAACAUCCGGUGAUCACAUAGGCCAGAGAUUGCACACUCACAUGCCUAAACUAAGGAUUAAGAUUUCAUAAAUGAGUAAAUGAAUUUGAUGUAAGAAGAAUAAGGAAUGGUAGAGAUUAGCGGUAGUUUAGAUGUCUCAUCUAAAACUCCAGGCAAUUCUUGCAUGAGUGAAGACUCCGUGUUGCCAGAUUUUCAAAUUUUUUCCAAGAUACAAGAACACCGUAUUUGUAAGAAUAUUAUACAGGACAAAUAAAAUACCAUUCUUGUUUAGGGCCUUUUAUCUGUAGCAGAGGUUGAAAAUUAAACAGGCUCCAGGCUCUGAGCUGUCAGCACAGAGCCCGACGCGGGGCUCAAACCCACAAACUGUGAGAUCGUGACCUGAGCUGAAGUCGGACGCUUAGCCAACUGAGCCACCCAGGCGCCCCUAACGUUUAUUUAUUUUUGAGACAGAGAGAGACACAGCAUGAAUGGGGGAAGGUCAGAGAGAGGGAGACACAGAAUCCGAAGCAGGCUCCAGGCUCCGAGCUGUCAGCACAGAGCUUGACGUGGGGCUCGAACUCACGGACCGCGAGAUCACUGUAUCUGGCCAGCUAGAUACAGUCCCAUGGGUCACUAAUUUUCAACCUCUGCUACAGAUAAAAGGCCCUAAACAAGAAUGGUAAGUGUUUGAAUGAAAAGAACUAAAUAUGAGGAAAGAGGAAAGAAUCAAAGAGAAUAAUACCAAUUUUUCCCCUAGGUAAGAAGGAGGAGGUGGUAACUAAAUACUAAAUACUAAUAAAUGCUAAAAUCAUCAGAAGGUUUGGAGAGAGUAGGUGCUUGACUCUGAGGUUUUUUUAGCACAGGACAAACUUCUUGGUCAUGGGUGUCCACUGCACAUGAAUCUAAUUCAGCUGUUGAGUUUGAGAAAUCUGUGGGAUCAUCUGGGCAAAGGGUGCAGGAAAUGUAAGGGAGAGAGGAUAAAACAGGAGUUAAAGAUGUAAGAUUCAUUCCCUCAAAGUAUUAUUAAACAUGUAGCACAAUAUGUAUUUGUUAUUUCUUUUUUUUUUAAUUUUUUUUAACGUUUAUUUUUGAGACAGAGAGAGACAGAGCAUGAAUGGGGGAGGGUCAGAGAGAGGGAGACACAGAAUCCGAAGCAGGCUCCAGGCUCCGAGCUGUCAGCACAGAGCCCGACGCGGGGCUCGAACUCAUGGACCGAGAGAUCAUGACCUGAGCCGAAGUCGGCUGCUUAACCGACUGAGCCACCCAGGGGCCCCUGUAUUUGUUAUUUCUUAAGACUAUAAAUUCUGUGAGGGCAGAAACCAAAUAUGUUUUUUUCACCCCUUAUCCAGCACCUAGCACAAUAUAUAAUAGGUGCUUAAUGUAUGUUGAACAAACAGAUUGAUAAAUACACCAUGUGUUUCACUAGCAUCCUGAGACACAGGGUUGAAUUCAAAAAUGUUCUCAAAGAAGCUUAUAGGCUAGAAAGUAAGUCAAGUCUUAUAUUUAAUUAAUUAAUCUAAGUUUGAAAGUAGUACCAUUUUUAAAAAAUAGUUACCAUGGGAUUCAGAGAAAAAGAUUUUUAGAAGUUACACUGGGCUCUCAUAAUGGAUAGUUAAGAUCAGAUCAUGCAGAUGUUGGAAAGAACUAAUCAAAAGCAUCUAAAUUGAAGGUGCAUAUUUUUCUUCUGAAAGUAGUGUUUGCGACUGCCAAGAUAGUGAAUAGAUAAACAGUUUGAAGCCAAAACCUUGAGAAUCACCCAAAUGUAAAGAAGGUAAGGAAGAAGAACCAACAGAGUAAACACGGAAGAAGUCAUCAGAAAACUAAGAGAGGCAUCAGGAGAAAGAGUUACAUAGGAACCAAAAAUCCACAUUUCAAGCAAGACGGGUCAAUCAGUAUUUGUCAAAUACUAUAGAAACAGCAAGCCAUGAAGGAGGAUCAAAGGCCAUUGGAUGUAGUGAUUAAGGAAAUCAUCAAUGACUUCCAACUAAACAGUGUCUUUAUAGUUGACCAAUGAUUAGAAGGGAGAGGAGCAUGAAAGACCAUAGAAUUCAGAGGCUUUUGAUUUGCUUAGGGAGGGAGGGAAUGGAGUUACUUAACAGGGGGAAAAUCUAGAAAAGGACUGAGUUGCAAAAAAAAAAAAAAAAAAGAAUAAUUCAUGAACCAAGACUUUGGAGGAUCUAAACAGUAAUGAGAUCAAGAAAAGAGAGAAGAGUCACUGUCAAGAAUCAGCAUUAUAAUUCUAACAAAUAUUAAUAACAGAGAUAAUAUUUUCCUUAAUCUCUCAACAUAUUUUCCUAAGUAGUUACUUGGUUUCUUUUUACCCUUAUGGCCCCAAAGUAACUUUUGAUAUGCUGAAAAUAGUCUUAAAACUUUAACUUUGUAACAUUUCUCUUUUUUUAAUUUUUAAAGUUUAUUUAUUUAGAGAGAGGGGGUUGGGGGAGAGGCAGAGAAAGAGAGAGAGACCCAAGCAGUCUCUGCACUGUCAGUGACGAGCCAGACGCAGGGCUUGAACUCACGAACCAUGAGAUCAUGACCUGAGUGGAAACCAAGAGUCAGAUGCUUAACCAAAUGAGCCACCCAAUCGCACCUCAACUUUGUACUAUUUCUUAAUGCUUCCUUAAAAUCCUCUUUUUAUAAGUAAGUAGGUAUUAUAGUACAUUAUUCCUGCAUUUUUUUUUUUUUUGUUAUUCCACAUCCCUUCAAGAAACCACUUCUCCCCAGCUGUAGCUUGUGUAGUUCAAGUGGAACUGAUUCCCAACUCCCCACCCUGCCCCUCCUCCUAUACUUGAUCCAGAUCUGGCCAAUGACAACCAUCACUGACACUUUCACUAACCCUAUAAGGAAAAAGACUCUCUUCCUCUGAUAUUGCAGGUGCUGAAGACCAUAUAAGCAUGGAGUAGACAGGCCACCUUUGCUACUACAUGGAAGCUUAUUUAAAGUUGAAGCUUAAAAAGCCAACCUGGAAGAUAGAAACCAAAUCCUGAUGACAUUAUUUGAGCCCAGGGAUCCAAACAUGCCCAAAGACUAUUUUGCCACUGGACUUUUCAGUUAAAUGAGCCAAUAAACUCUCUUUUAUG